CAGAGAUGAGCCAUUUUCCUUUGUUUAAAAACAAUGAGUAGAAUAGGGUGUAUCGAUGACCUCAUAGAUGCAGCAGUGUGAUGGGGAGAACUUUGCCUCUGGAAUCAGACUGCACCAGCCCAAGUCCUACUUCCAUUCUCUAUCAUUUGUCCCAGCUUGAAUCCAAAGCUUUGCUGGGAGGAGGGAAGAGAGCAAAGAGCACAGGAGCCUGUGCUGGCCAUUGGGCACUGUGGUCAGGGAGGUUCCAGCAAGAUGGAAGGAAGAGCAGCCUUGGAAGACAGGGCCAUUGCUUCAGCUCAGAGCUGAGGGAGUUGGAGCAGAUAUAGAGAUUUUUAUGGGCAAGGAUUUUCACUGAAAUGUACGUACCACCUCUGAAAGCUUGAGAUCUUUCAUAGUUAAUAUUGGAAUAUCAACAGAUGUUUGUAGAAUGAAUGCAUGAAAUAUGCAGAAUUGUAACACAUCUGGAGUUCUGUAGGGCAAAAUACUGAACUAAUGUGUUAGUCACUUUCCUAGUUCUGGGACAAAAUACCCAACACCUAUAAUUUAAAGAAGGAG
RNAcentral lists this long non-coding RNA (555 nucleotides) under Heterocephalus glaber (naked mole-rat). RNAcentral's name for it is "lncRNA (ENSHGLG00100032078.2)". Lineage: Eukaryota; Metazoa; Chordata; Mammalia; Rodentia; Bathyergidae. The record is from RNAcentral.